AUUGAACGCUGGCGGUAGGCCUAACACAUGCAAGUCGAGCGAGCGGCGGAAGGGUGAGUAAUGUCUGGGAAACUGCCUGAUGGAGGGGGAUAACUACUGGAAACGGUAGCUAAUACCGCAUACCAUCAGAUGUGCCCAGAUGGGAUUAGCUAGUAGGUGGGGAAAUGGCUCACAUAGUCGACGAUCCCUAGCUGGUCUGAGAGGAUGACCAGCCACACUGGAACUGAGACACGGGCCAGACUCCGCAGUGAGGCAGAAGUGGGGAAUAUUGAACAAUGGGCGAAAGCCUGAUGCAGCCAUGCCGCGUGUGUGAAGAAGGCCUUCGGGUUGAAAAGCACUUUCAGCGGGGAGGCGUUACCCGCAGAAGAAGCACCGGCUAACUCCGUGCCAGCAGCCGCGGUAAAC
This 405-nucleotide ribosomal RNA is filed under the name uncultured bacterium. RNAcentral's name for it is "partial 16S ribosomal RNA". It matches the Rfam family "Bacterial small subunit ribosomal RNA", at positions 30 to 525 of the family's 1533-position model. The record is from RNAcentral.